UCCUACGGGGGGCAGCAGUGGGGAAUAUUGGGCAAUGGGCGCAAGCCUGACCCAGCAACGCCGCGUGAAGGAAGAAGGCUUUCGGGUUGUAAACUUCUUUUAUUGAGGACGAAACAAAUGACGGUACUCAAUGAAUAAGCCACGGCUAACUACGUGCCAGUAGCCGCGGUAAUACGUAGGUGGCAAGCGUUAUCCGGAUUUACUGGGUGUAAAGGGCGUGUAGGCGGGAGAGCAAGUCAGACGUGAAAUUCCAGGGCUCAACCCUGGAACUGCGUUUGAAACUGUUCUUCUUGAGUGAUUGAAAG
Molecule: ribosomal RNA, 305 nt
Filed under: uncultured bacterium
Lineage: Bacteria
Description: bacterial SSU rRNA
Rfam family: Bacterial small subunit ribosomal RNA
Source: RNAcentral